Oryza sativa Japonica Group (Japanese rice) is the source of this 929-nucleotide non-coding RNA. NCBI's taxonomy places the organism in Eukaryota, Viridiplantae, Streptophyta, Magnoliopsida, Poales, Poaceae. The record is from RefSeq and is a predicted model, not a curated record.
GCUGUCUAUAGCCACUACUACUAGUAGCACUAGUACUCCUUUUAUAUAGAUAGCUCCUCCUCCUUCCAAUCUCAUCUUCCCCGGUUCCCCCUUCAACCUAUCUGUUCACCUCCCUCAAACCCUUUCUCUUGUUCCCUCGUGGCCCUCUUCAUUUGGAUCUGGCCCUUUGUGCCGUCGAGCCGGACGGAGGUCCAGAGAGGCGCCGUGCGCCGCAGCGGGAUCUCUCUCUACGACGGCGCUCUGGCCUCUGCUCGGUUUCCGCUGACGGGUGACUCCCAUGGCGGCUGUGCGUCGGCGGCGGGCGGCCCCCGGAUGCGCCGGUGCGUCGCCGACGGGCCUCCCCGGAUGGAGGCGAGGAUCUGUUCCACUGACGAGUGGACCUACGGUCGCGGGAGGCGGUCAAUGGAUGGGGGCCUCGGCUGGAGUCGGCUCUAGGCUGACAGGUGGGGCAGCCCCCCACGGGUUUCGGCCGGCGGGGAUCGCUCUCCCUGACAGGUGGGGCAGGCCUCCCUCGGCUGGAUGCGUCAGCUCGCUGACAAGUGGGCCGGGGCGGCUGGAACCUUCGCGGCGCUAGGCUGACAGGUGGGGGGCCGCUUUGGUCGGCGGUGAUCGCCCUCACUGACAGGUGGGCCGGGGACGGCUGGAGUCCGCGCGGCGCUAGGCUGACAGGUGGGGCAUGGCCCUGGAUGCGGUAUAUAUAUAUGAACCGAUCUCUCCGCUGCCGCUGCCCCCCGAGUCGCCUCGUCGGAGGAAAGCCGGAAGCGAUCUCCUCGAUCGAAUCAAAUCUGCAUUCGCCGUCGAGCGGCGACCCCCGCCUCCCCGCCUCCCCACCGCCGCCGCCGCCGCCGUACCUCCACAGGAAUGGCCGAUGUCAUCGACGAGCCCAUGGUCGAGGCGUUCGCCCGACUCGCCCUGAAGGCUUCCCUCGC